ACAGAACGCAGCUAGUCGCCAGUAGUCCGCCAGCUCUGAACGGAGCAAUUUCCAGCUGGGAGUGUUUGCAAUCCUGGUACUGGGGUACUGGUACCCGAGAAUCAUACAAGUAAAACGGCUAAGAAAGGUGUCGACUGUCAGAUACCCAUCUAUUCUUAACUUUAGUGAUUGCAGCAACUCUAAGCGCUUAUGGCGAACAUUAUUAUUUAUCAAAAGUAUAUUGAAAAAAAAAAAACCAUAGUUGUCAGACAUCAAACAUCAGUUAUGUAGAAUAAUGUUUAUUCUGACAUAAACUGCAUAUACCCUUCUUCUGCACACAUCCACGAUUCCACAAGGCAAAUAUGUCCUGCAAUGAGAAAACAGCGCUUCUGGCAUCGCAACAAGGACAUCAGAAGCGGCAGCAACAGCACAUCAUUGUCGUGCCCGCGACGGAGAAGGACUCAAAGGAUUAUGAGCCCAUUUUCACAACUGCUGACUAUUCCUACGGUCUGACUCUCGAGGAGCUUCUGCCCUUCGCUCUGGAUCCCUGGUGGCAAACCGUGCGGCGCCUCAGCUGCGGGGUCCUGGGCCUGACUUUCCUGCUGACCCUGAUUGCUGGUCUGGUUAUGGCCUUUUCCGGCAGAGUCUGUCAGCCUAAUAGAGCAAUUAGUGAAAACGCGACCAUGACAACGAUGGCCACGCCACUAUCCUUGGCUCUCAACGGCUCGCAACUGCUGAUGGCCAGUUCCUAAUGGCCGCAAGGUAAUCUGCGUAGCAUUUUGGAGAUGCCGCAAUCCACCGGGCGCAAUUGCAUCAGCCGCAUCAGCUCGCACUACUGGCAUUUGUUUGGCCUGCCGGUACUGGAUCCGACCUAAUCCCCCAUAGCCUCUAGCCCAGUUUCUAGCUGAGUGAUAAGCGACGCACCGCAAAAUUGAUUGGUUGCGGAAUAAUUAUACUGAUUAAUUUAUUUGCUAUACAAUCCCGUACUCGUAAGCAUCCCCCCGUAAGCAUCAGUUAAUAGGAAGUGUUUCCGAUAAUUACACUAAGUACACAUACAUACGUCGGUUCCAUUACGGCGAAUUCCAUGGAGUUCGGAAACUUGAGCUGUAUAGUUGGAUAAUAAGCAUGCAGAUUCUAGGGACGCCUAAUUUGUGCAAUUAUAUUUUAUGUUUUAUGUUGAA
Drosophila yakuba is the source of this 1160-nucleotide RNA transcript. RefSeq lists it as uncharacterized. NCBI's taxonomy places the organism in Eukaryota, Metazoa, Arthropoda, Insecta, Diptera, Drosophilidae. The record is from RefSeq and is a predicted model, not a curated record. The transcript is spliced from 4 exons.